CGGACGGGUGAGUAAUGUCUGGGAAACUGCCUGAUGGAGGGGGAUAACUACUGGAAACGGUAGCUAAUACCGCAUAACGUCGCAAGACCAAAGAGGGGGACCUUCGGGCCUCUUGCCAUCGGAUGUGCCCAGAUGGGAUUAGCUAGUAGGUGGGGUAACGGCUCACCUAGGCGACGAUCCCUAGCUGGUCUGAGAGGAUGACCAGCCACACUGGAACAGAGACACGGUCCAG
RNAcentral lists this ribosomal RNA (232 nucleotides) under uncultured bacterium. Its description in RNAcentral is "partial 16S ribosomal RNA". It matches the Rfam family "Bacterial small subunit ribosomal RNA", at positions 99 to 334 of the family's 1533-position model. The record is from RNAcentral.